CCCCCGGUAUCUAUCCUCCCAGAACCCUCCUCUACACCCCCACUCUCCAGGUCUGCCCCCCACAGGCUCCACCAUGGCUUUCCUUUUUAGGGUGGAACCAAAUUUCCGUGGUUUCAGAAAAGCUCUCCACCCCCCUUGGCAAUACUCCAGGGUCUCAGCUCCAACGGUUGAAAAAUAAACAGCCUCUCAGAGCCAGGGCCUGGCCUGGCGCAGGGGCUGAGAGGGGCCUCCGGCCACCCCGCUGCUCCACGCUUCAGCCACCUCUCUCGGUUUGUCUGAGGCUCGACUCAAAUCCCCAGUUGAUUUCCGGUUAGCGGGAUCUUAUCCCAGCCCCCUAAGGGAAAGUUCCAGGACGGAACCUUUUCCAAGUUAGCCUCAAGACAGGUGAAUAUGCUGCUGCCUUCAUGAGGUGUGCCUCAUGCUCAGGAGUACAUGCACGAGAGGAAAGGGGGGGCUCACUCUGCCAGUAGAUGAAGAAAGUGGAAAGGAAUUCAGCAGCAGUAGGGCUCCUGGCUUCAGCCAAGCCCCCCGGGUGGCAACAGAGAGAGCAGCGUGCUCCCCUGCCCAGGGUCAGCACUGCACAUGGCCCCAGAUGACGGUGUGCAGCUUCCAGAACCAUCUACCAUCUACUCUCCUGGCUGCCACUCUGCCUGGUGUCUGAUUUCAACUCCUGCGACUGCCGCACCCACCCAUACCAUCUCAUGCUGAAGAUGAAACUGAGGGUCCGUCGCAGGGAGGAGCCGGCCCAGGUCCCUGAGCUCCGUUCCAGCUGGCUACAGCUGCAGAGAGAGAAGGGAGAGGUGAAGACACUCACAGAGAUGGCGGCGACGGUGCCAUGACCAGGGGAGAGAGAGUGGACAUACGAGCGAAAAGACUGAGAGAAAAGGCCUUUGAAGGGCUCCGAAUCCCCCAACUCACCUUUGGCUGAGGUCCGCAGCAAAGAACUGGGAUAAAUUUCCUGCCAACACAAAAG
Molecule: long non-coding RNA, 973 nt
Organism: Hipposideros armiger (great roundleaf bat)
Lineage: Eukaryota; Metazoa; Chordata; Mammalia; Chiroptera; Hipposideridae
Exons: 4
Source: RefSeq, a predicted model, not a curated record